UGCCUGGCAGGCUCUGAGACUUGGCCGGCCCUGGUCUUCAGUCUCACCUGGCUGAGCUGGCUGCCUGCACUUGUCCCCUGCAGUGGUUUCUGCACCACCAGGCCUUCUCCACAGCCCAGAGCCAGGUGGGGGUGAGAAUGGCUUCUGUGGGGCCUGCUGUGGCCUGAUUAGUCUGUUUGGUAGAUGUACUGUCCUCCAGGCCUUGAGCUGAUCUAGGCUGGGCUGUCUGUCACAGCUCUUCUCACUUGGAAGACUGUGACCACACAGACCUCUGGACCUAUGCCAGAGUCCCAGAUGCAGUGGAAUCUACAUUUCUGCUCUGAUGCUGCCGGUCUGAGGGCUUAUACCUGAGGGUUUCUGAGUCCACUGGGGGAUGCCAGGCCCCUUCUUGCAGCACCACCUUCAUCUGAGUUCUCUGUGCCCCAUCAGGUAAGACCCUAUCACUCUUCUCAUAGACCCCAUAGAAGCUUUUCCAGGUUUUAUUUUUAGCCGUUUAUUUCCAGCGCCCUACUCCAGUGUGAAGAGCGGUGCCAGGAGGCGCUCAUUCUCACAGGCUGUCUGCUGAAACCCCUGGCAUCCUCGCCAAGUGCGUGUGUACUGGCAUUAAUGUUGGACACGUAGGACACAUGUGGUGCUGUGUCCCUUGCUCCUCCUCUUCCUUUAUCCGUUGCCCUCAGCCACAAGACUGGCACAAUCAUGAAAAUCCUCAAAGAUGUCCGGUAUGCACCUGUUGGUGAAGUCUCUGAAGUAGGAGCUGCCCCUGAAGUGGGAUUGCUGGCUCACAGUUGCCUCAAGCAAGGAAAUGGAAGAGAUGCUUCGUAUUUCUGUAAGACAGAGUGGAAGGUCAUCUCCCAGCAUGGCCCAGUGAAACCACAGUCGGUCUUCCAGGAGAAGUUCUUCACCUGAUGUUUCAACUCACACCUCCAGCUAUAUCUAGUCAGCAAUUAACUCCACAGACAGACGUUUUUGUGCUCAUAUUUUUCAAGACCAGUAUUUUAACUUAGUUCUUCGUUAAAAACACUUCCGUCUCUAUUUCAUGGCAUCAAUGUCUUCUCUUACCUCUUCAAGAAUAUUUAUUAAAGUUCUUUAUCUGUCUUGGUCUAUUAAUUCCUCUCCAUCUGAUGGCAGUUGUGCAAUGUAUGACCUGCUAUCAUGUUGGCUGUUGUCCUCAGUUGCUUCUUCUCCCCCACCUUGUGAGCUCAAUUGUUAAUGGUCUACAUACCCUGACAAACAAUAUCUGUACAGGAGAAUGUGAUAGAGCCUAGGAUCUGGCUUUUGCACAUCCUGGUGAUUUUAAAUAGGGGCUAACACUACCAAGUGGAAAGGCUCUGGCGUUCAAGUGCAGACCAGGUUGGAGGCAGCCCUGGUUUGAGGGCUAGGAAACCUCCUUUAUCCUGCCCCUGGAUCUGCUUUCUCCAAAUGGUUUUGUUUGUAUUUUGAUUAUGAUCCGAUAACUCUUGGGCAUUCCAGGUGGGACAGGGAGAUAAAGUUCCCGUGGGCCGUGUGGUCUCCCUGUGCUGCAGCCAGGACUUCCUCCGUCCACGGGAACACUGCCACCGCCUCAGUGUGACCUUCCACCCCUAGAGCCGUCACUUCUGCAGCUCACAGCUGGAACAGGCCAUAGUUUGAGUCUCUCUGGAUAGUGAGCCAGAUCUGCACCUCGAUUGUUCUCUGACCUUUGUGUCUGGUCUUCUGCCAUGGAGCCUCUGUCUUCGCACAGCAGGCGACAGCCUCCUUCUGGGCUCCCAGGCCCUCUCACAGUGUCCACACUAGUACAUCUCUGUCUCUCCAAACACUUCACUGUGCCCUCAACACCUGCGGGUUCUGGAUACACUGUAAGAAACUGGGUGCAAUCCCAGCUCUAAUAAGAACACUCGGAGGGCUGGCCUGUGAGCACAGAGCAGGCAGGGAAGAAGCAGACGGCUCCACCUGGACGCCCGUCCACCUGUGCUCUCCGCUCACCCUCUGGACGCUUUUGGAUUUUUCUUCUCUGAAGGACAAAGAAUCUCUCCCAAAUUAGGACAGAAGCAUGCUGGCAAAAAGUGAAACCGUUCCUCUUUGCUCUGAUUUAUCAUGGGCAGCUGCUUGCUUCCUCCAGCACAUACCACAAAUGCCAGAGGACAGCAAAUGUUGUCCUGAAGCCACUCAGAGCACAAACUCCCUCUUUUGAUGCAGUCAGGGAUCCUGAGCUUUCAGGAAUGGGGCCAUCUCGCUUUGCACACUUUCACAGUCCUUGCUGCAGCGAGGCAGUUUGGUCUCCAGCAAGGUUGGUAAGGUGCUCAGCUUGCCUACAAGCUAAUACAUGGCAUGUUGUGACAGAGAAACUCACUCAUUCAGCAAAUGUUUAAUCCAAUAGGCAGUUUCUUAGACCUUGGGAAACAGUAGUGCAAAAUGGGUAAUGGACUUUACCUAUUAGGGAGGAGAGGCUGAGAGUAACAUCGAAGACUCUCAAAGAUGACUAGUUCAUCCAGAGACAAGUGCAAAGGAGGAAAUAAAAGUAGAUUGUGUAAUCAAGAGGGAUGCAAAGCUGGGGCUGAGUUAGCGGUCUGCAAGUAGCCAAGAACGUCUGUUUUAGAAAGUUGGGAGUGCUCUGACCUUUGCAAAGUGAAGGACAGGCCACUAAAAAAAGCCAGGGGGAAACAUUCCUGGCAGCAGACACGGAGAGCUGUUCCUGAGCUGUGAUCAGCCUUGGUCUGUUUGAGCAACAGAAAGGGGUCAUUGUGUUUGGAAGCAGGUGAGCAAAGGAGUAAGAGUUGACAUCCAAGAAGUGAGCAGCAACAAAUUGUGCAAGAAAAGGAUUCCAUUUUUUCCCCAAGUGCAAUAAAAACCCACUGGAGAAUUUCUGUUCUUCCUUGACUGGAAUACCCCUCUGGGCGAUGUGCAGAUUGUAGGGUAAAGAAUGAAAGCUGGGUGCUCGGUCAGGAGGCUGCUGCCAUGUGGUACGUAAGAGACGGUGCUGGUUCAGAUUCUAUUGGUGACAAUGUAGACAGAACAAAAUGGACAGAUUAAAGAGAGGUUUUGGAGUUGUGCUUGCAAAGACUUUUCACGGAUGAAUGAAGUGGAUGAUCCCAGGGUUCAGAGAUGACCUAACUGAAUGAUGUCAUCACUUCCUGAGAUGGUGAUGUCCACGGAAGUAACAUGUUUGGUGGGUCAAAAUCCAGCAUUAUGAUUCUGUUAUACUUGAUGUAUCUGUUAGUCAUGCUGGAGAUGGAUGUUCGGUAGGGCUCUGCCAUCCGUACCAGCAUCAGUACAGGAGUGGAGGGGCUCUGGGGUGGACCU
This is a long non-coding RNA of Nycticebus coucang (slow loris), 3279 nucleotides long. RefSeq lists it as uncharacterized. NCBI's taxonomy places the organism in Eukaryota, Metazoa, Chordata, Mammalia, Primates, Lorisidae. The record is from RefSeq and is a predicted model, not a curated record. The transcript has 5 exons.